Molecule: ribosomal RNA, 434 nt
Filed under: uncultured eukaryote
Lineage: Eukaryota
Description: bacterial SSU rRNA
Rfam family: Eukaryotic small subunit ribosomal RNA
Source: RNAcentral
UAAUAGCGUAUAUUAAAGUUGUUGCAGUUGAAAAGCUCGUAGUCGUAUUUCUGGUGGGUUGAUGCGUCGGCUCAAGUUUGGCGAAAGUCGAGCUUGGCUGUACGCCGCCUAUCAUUUUGUGGAUCAAAGUUAAGUUUGUGUACGCAAGUAUGCAUUCUUAGCUCCACUCCGUCACUGAGAGCAAAUUGGAGUGCUCAAAGCAGGCUUUACAGCUUUGAACAUUUUAGCUUGGAAUGACAAAGUACGACUUCUCGUUCACUUUGUUGGUUAUGAAUAGGAAGUAAUGAUAAAUAGGAACAGUUGCGGGGGUACUCGUACUGGGAAGUCAGAGGUGAAAUUCUUGGAUUUUCCCACGACGAACGACUGCGAAAGCAUUUACCAAGGAUGUUUUCAUUGAUCAAGAACGAAAGUGCGAGGAUCGAAGAUGAUCAGAU